CAGCAGCCGCGGGAAUACGGAUGAUCCAAGCGUUAUCCGGAAUCAUUGGGUUUAAAGGGUCCGUAGGCGGUCUUGUAAGUCAGUGGUGAAAGCCCAUCGCUCAACGGUGGAACGGCCAUUGAUACUGCAGGACUUGAAUUAUUGGGAAGUAACUAGAAUAUGUAGUGUAGCGGUGAAAUGCUUAGAGAUUACAUGGAAUACCAAUUGCGAAGGCAGGUUACUACCAAUUGAUUGACGCUGAUGGACGAAAGCGUGGGUAGCGAACAGGAUUAGAUACCCCCGUAGUCCCUGUCUCUUAUAC
This 301-nucleotide ribosomal RNA is filed under the name uncultured bacterium. RNAcentral describes it as "partial 16S ribosomal RNA". It matches the Rfam family "Bacterial small subunit ribosomal RNA", at positions 509 to 807 of the family's 1533-position model. The record is from RNAcentral.